This 241-nucleotide ribosomal RNA is filed under the name Candidatus Epulonipiscium viviparus. RNAcentral describes it as "Epulopiscium sp. 'N.t. morphotype B' partial 23S ribosomal RNA". It matches the Rfam family "Bacterial large subunit ribosomal RNA", at positions 1 to 241 of the family's 2925-position model. The record is from RNAcentral. Lineage: Bacteria; Bacillati; Bacillota; Clostridia; Lachnospirales; Lachnospiraceae.
GGUCAAGCUACUAAGAGCGUAGAGUGGAUGCCUUGGCACCGAGAGCCGAUGAAGGACGUGGUAAGCUGCGAAAAGCUUGGGUAAGUUGCAAACAAACGCUAUAACCCAAGAUGUCCGAAUGGGGAAACCUAGCUGAGUAAACCUCAGUUGUUAUAUGGUAAAUUCAUAGCCAUAUAAAGGGAACGUUGGGAACUGAAACAUCUAAGUACCAACAGGAGGAGAAAGAAAAAUCGAUUUCCUA